UGGCCGACCUGCGAGGCCACCUGCCCGUGGCCAACCUGCUGAAGCGAGCGGUGGAGAAGCUGGCGAGCCUGGAGAGCGCCCUGU
This 84-nucleotide non-coding RNA is filed under the name Pseudopedinella elastica. Lineage: Eukaryota; Dictyochophyceae; Pedinellales. The record is from RNAcentral.